Molecule: long non-coding RNA, 1965 nt
Organism: Bombus terrestris (buff-tailed bumblebee)
Lineage: Eukaryota; Metazoa; Arthropoda; Insecta; Hymenoptera; Apidae
Exons: 3
Source: RefSeq, a predicted model, not a curated record
CGAGGAGCAGUGGCGCCUGGGUAAAAUAUUGCGCGGACCAGCACCAAAUCCGGCAUGGCGGCGCGUGAUGCACUAAAAACUCGACGCGAGUCGCAAAACCAGUCGCGUAGUGGGGAGAGAAUCUUUAUUAUUCAACGAGGAGAAGUCAUUCUUUCGUAUUAGAUUUCCAUGGAGAUUCGAAUUACUCCCUGGAUCGAGAUAUGUUGUUCCGUACAAUGACCUCGAGCAACGAUGUUUUUAAAUGUACGAACGAGAGAAUUCGCGUUUCACGAACGUUCGAGUCGAGCAACACGAUCGCCACCUGGUAGCUCCGUUUCCAAACAUACGUGCCGCGCAAGUGAAUUAUUACGAAACGAAUUGGUCUCGCUGUUCGUUCCUGUUCGAAUUUCGUAGGAAAUAAACAGGCGAAGAGUCGAGAGCGAAAGAAGCAGAGAACCACGAUGAACCGACCGCAUGAAACUGAGGAAGCCGUAGCAAUGGAAAAGAACGCAUGGGCUGACAGUAAUACUCCGAUAAUAUAGAUUACCGUGUCAGCUGUACAACUCGUGGAAAUAUAAAGUUUCGUCGUGCAACGUCUCUCCGGAAUCGACAAAGUCGGCUGUGUCGGGUUUGCGGAGGAUGCUUCUUUGAGAUUUUAAUUGGUUUUCGCGUGCACCAUGCUGGGACAAAUCGUGGGUUGCUUUUGAAAGUUUGGAAAAUCGUGACGACGUCGGCGAAAAGGAUCGAGAAUACGUAACAUCGCAGAAUUUAUCGAUCGCGUCGUAAUGGAAUUUAUACUUGUGGAUUCCAAGAAUUCGAUACAGUUUUAAGAGCUAAUUCAACUUACUUCUAAUAUAACGUACGAUGUGAAAAUAUUUGAAGGAAAUUCGUAAGUAACUCUAUAUACGUCAGAUAUAUUACAAUAGUAUUCAACUUCAACAACCACGUUUAUAAAAAUAACCGUGAAGAUCCUAUGUUAAACUCGUUAUAAAAGUACCAACAGCAUCCUUAUCCUUUGGAAACUCUUGUUACAAAUAUUAUCAACGUCAAUUUUUAUUGAAACAGCAACAGCGUCACCUGUAUUUUACUUAUUUUCUAUCGCGUUAUAUCACUUUAAUCUCUUGUCGCAUAAAAUCAAUUUCUAAUUUUAAUUCUAUGGAUAUGUAGCAUAUUUAAGAUCCGUACUACUAAUAUCAAAGAUCAAAACUCCCAGAAUUAAAAAACAUCUUCCGUCAAAAAUCCGAUAAUUUUUCGUCAUAGCAACAUGUCGAUUUUCCGAGGGAGCGUGUUUCUUUUUACUCGCGGAAACACGACCAGUCGACGGAAUAGAACCGCGAUAAAUUAACGCGCGUAUCUGGCGUGCCACGCCGUUUCCUUCUCCCUUUCGCGACCCUCCAGCUGCUCGACGACGACGAUUUCGUUUCACCCGAGUGCCACGGACAGCUCUCGUAAAGAGAAUCGAUCGCGCAAAACCUAGCCCCUCCAGCUCUUUCGGUGUUUCCAACCUUCGGUAAAAUGCUCGAUCGAUGAAUGGAAUUUAACAUCGUCGAUUGCCAUCGAUGGCAUAUACCUGAAUAUUUUCGACGUUUCAACGUUCUGUCGCUUUGCAUUUUUGUUCGACUAAAUUGCCAGGACUGAUGGUUUUGUUCAAUGGUGAAAUGCGCUCAUUAAUAUCGGAACAUUGACCGAGAUUUUUAAUUCCGAUUUGAAACGAUGCAUAUUUUUCGAUUUAAAUAGCAAUGAAGAACAGGGAUUUUAACGUAAGCGUCUCUUAGGUCCCGAAAGAGGAGAACAUUUAAAAAUCGACGAAGAAAUGUAUCCGAGGGCAAAUUAUUAUUAAGAAUGAUUUCAAUUACCGAGUUUUGUCUACUAAUUUGCGAUAUGAUUCGUAAUUUAAGCAUUUCGAAUUGUGACUUGUAAUUUGACGUGGAAUUUUCGUUUAUUUAUAGGGAAGUUACAAAGGAAUAUAAAAUGUUGAAAAUGUUG